Molecule: ribosomal RNA, 478 nt
Filed under: uncultured bacterium
Lineage: Bacteria
Description: partial 16S ribosomal RNA
Rfam family: Bacterial small subunit ribosomal RNA
Source: RNAcentral
GACGAACGCUGGCGGCGUGCUUAACACAUGCAAGUCGAACGGUAAGGCCCUUCGGGGUACACGAGUGGCGAACGGGUGAGUAACACGUGGGUGAUCUGCCCUGCACUUUGGGAUAAGCCUGGGAAACUGGGUCUAAUACCGAAUAGGAUCAUGCACCUCAUGGUGUGUGGUGGAAAGCUUUUGCGGUGUGGGAUGGGCCCGCGGCCUAUCAGCUUGUUGGUGGGGUAAUGGCCUACCAAGGCGACGACGGGUAGCCGGCCUGAGAGGGUGUCCGGCCACACUGGGACUGAGAUACGGCCCAGACUCCUACGGGAGGCAGCAGUGGGGAAUAUUGCACAAUGGGCGCAAGCCUGAUGCAGCGACGCCGCGUGGGGGAUGACGGCCUUCGGGUUGUAAACCUCUUUCAGUAGGGACGAAGCGUAAGUGACGGUACCUACAGAAGAAGCACCGGCCAACUACGUGCCAGCAGCCGCCGUAA